RNAcentral lists this small RNA (454 nucleotides) under Histoplasma capsulatum var. duboisii H88. RNAcentral describes it as "Histoplasma capsulatum H88 hypothetical RNA". Lineage: Eukaryota; Fungi; Ascomycota; Eurotiomycetes; Onygenales; Ajellomycetaceae. The record is from RNAcentral.
GGGGCCCCGGUGGCCGAAUGGGUAAUGCGGCCACCUGGUAGCGCCUUGGCGUGGGGACCCAAGGCGCGUGGGUUCGAAACCCGCAGGGGACAACAUUACAUCCAGAGCUAACUUCUCAGCUCCUAAAAUAAUGAGAUGUGAACUUGCCAAGUAGGUACCUUCGGGCGGACCUACUACCUGAUUUAGCUGAUUUUUCCUGGGCUGGGAACCUGUAUCACAUGUACCAAUCCUGUCUUUCAUUAAUUUUCCUAUGUUCCUGUUAUAUUCUUGGCGUUGUUCAACACUAGCAUUCCUCCUGUAUAACCAACUCUUGCCUGUAUUUAACAUCACACAAGGACUCGUCAUAAGCACUGCUUGCAUACGAGUAUAACGGAAGAAUAAUAAUAAUACAUGCCCCAUUGGGGCCAUUAGAUAACCGAGUUAUUUUUCGAGGGGGGGGUCAUGUUAUAACGCG